CCUGUGAAGAUGCAGGUUACCCGCGACAGGACGGAAAGACCCCGUGGAGCUUUACUGUAGCCUGAUAUUGAAAUUCGGCACAGCUUGUACAGGAUAGGUAGGAGCCAUUGAAACGUGAGCGCUAGCUUACGUGGAGGCGUUGGUGGGAUACUACCCUAGCUGUGUUGGCUUUCUAACCCGCACCACUUAUCGUGGUGGGAGACAGUGUCAGGCGGGCAGUUUGACUGGGGCGGUCGCCUCCUAAAAGGUAACGGAGGCGCUCAAAGGUUCCCUCAGAAUGGUUGGAAAUCAUUCACAGAGUGUAAAGGCAUAAGGGAGCUUGACUGCGAGACCUACAAGUCGAGCAGGGUCGAAAGACGGACUUAGUGAUCCGGUGGUUCCGCAUGGA
Molecule: ribosomal RNA, 388 nt
Filed under: Gemella sp. GH3
Lineage: Bacteria; Bacillati; Bacillota; Bacilli; Caryophanales; Gemellaceae
Also listed under: 1 other name
Description: Bacterial large subunit ribosomal RNA
Rfam family: Bacterial large subunit ribosomal RNA
Source: Rfam by way of RNAcentral